Long non-coding RNA from Ictalurus punctatus (channel catfish), 6480 nucleotides. Lineage: Eukaryota; Metazoa; Chordata; Actinopteri; Siluriformes; Ictaluridae. The record is from Ensembl.
ACAAUUCAAUUAGGCUGGACAUGCUGUACAAUUAGGCUUUCCUGUUACAGAAUUUAACGGAGCGACAGCUAAGGCCAGCCAGUCACUGGAACCACAGGCUGAUGGACGGUUAAGCAGUUGGAGGGGUGCCAGCAGGGCUCAGACAGGUAGGAGCUACGCCAAGGCUGUUCCUCGACCAUCCAUCCUGCAGGAUGACACACCAGCGCCUGCUAGCUUCUAUUAUGGCUCCUUCUCUUCCUCUCCUGAAUAGAGCAAAUUUGAUUUGGCCUCUGCAAAAGCACUUUUCACCACAUAAAAGCUCAUUACUGUGAUGGAAAAGUGGCAUUCAAGGUAAAGCUGGUUGGGUGAAGCGAGGACAACGUGAACAUGGUGAAAACACAGGGCUCACACUUGUUCAGUUAGUAUGAGUGUAUUCUGUUUCUCUCUUCUUGUUCAUGAACUUGUGCCUAGCCAUUUACAGAUUUAUAGUGCAAUAACAGGUUCUUGUACUGCUUUUGUACACUGUUAAGGACUUAAAGGAACACUUCAGUAUUUUCAACUUAAAUAGCUGGUGUGUGGCUGCCGUCACACCAUCCAGGUUGAUGCUACACACUAGUGGUGGUUGAGGUGACACCCCUCCCCCAUACUGUGUAAAGCACUUUGAGAGUCUAGAAAAGCACUAUAUAAAUGUAACUAAAAAAAUGUCUUUAUUCACUGCAUGUGUAUUCAACUCAAAAUAUAUGGAUUAAUACAAAUUUCAACAUAUUUCUCUGUACUGACGAAUGAAAAGAAAACCUGUUUACCUGAAACUCACUUAUAAUGGAAGUCUAAGGGCAGUUGUUCUGGUAGUGAAUAACCCUUUACGUGAAAUACUUUCAUGAAUUCAUCGGUCAAAGCUAUUCAUAAAUUCAGCUCCAAAUGUGUAUAAAUGUGAUUUUAUUUUUUCGGUGAGAAGUACGUCAGAUGCCUCUUAGUUCUGUUCUCAGUACAGGGAGCUGGCUUAAAAUUAUUUUUGCAUAGUUAUCACAUCUACUAUGUAGAGAUUAUCAUUAAAAACCCUGCAGUAUUUCUUUAAUAUAUUUGCUCCAUGUCCAGUACAGUCAGGAACUGGGAGUUGGCAGCAGUCGAUGCAAGUGCAGAUUUAUUAGUGAACGGUGCAAACAAACAACAAAAACACUGAAAACAAGAACCAAAAACUAGAGUUACGAGGCAAAACGUCUGGGUUACGCAUGCAACCCUGUUCUCUGAGAUGGGAACGAGACAUUGCAUGAGCUUCACGCUGUGGGAAGUGCCCUCACGCAUGACCGGUAUCUGAAGUCUGUGUAAAAUCAUAACUAUAAAAUGGUGCCUGUGAACCACGUCAUCAGCCUCUAUUAUCUGAAGCAAAGACGCGAUUCACAGGCAUGCCCCAGUAUGAAAAAGCUAUGCAAUGGCUUAUUCCCUUCUCAGGGAACAGGGUUACAUUUACCCCAGACAUUCCCUUUCAUACUGAGGGUAUGGCUGUCAUGGUGAACUGGAAACUCCUAGAGAGGGCCGUCCAGCAGAGAUAUUAUCUCCAAUAACCAAAUUUGAGCUAGCCAAUCCAGUGCUAUCAGCAGCAGACAUAGCACGGUCUUGGCGAACUCUCACUAGAGCCUGUGGAAGGAGAGUGAUCGGGGGAAAGGCGUACAGAUGUGACCUCAGCCACAUGUGUUCCAUGGUGUCCAGCCCUGUCCUUUUUAUUUAUUUAUUUUUUGGUGCAGGAGGAGUGAGGGCGAAAAACAGCGGGCAGCGUGUUGUCUCCUCAGAAGUGAACACGUCCUCUUCCGCUCGGCCGCACCUCCGCCAUAUGGACUCACCCACUUGUGGAUGGAGCCUCCAGUCCCCAGGCCUCAGCCUCUGCAUCAACAGGAUGUCUGCCCCAACAUUCCAGUAGCCCGGAAUAUACAUUGCACUCACUGACCAAACUUCCCCUCUACCAGAGAAGAAUUAGUUGAGUCUGCCUGAAAAGGGGGCGUGAACGUAAUGCUCCCUGGUGGUUGAUAUAUGAGACCACCGCUGUGUUGUCUAACACAUGGUGACCUCUCAACUGACGAGAAGAAAUUCAGUGCUAGGAGUACAGCCCACACUUCGAGGCGAUUUAUAUGCCACACUAGAUGAGGGCUGCACCACAGACCAUGAGGGAGGUGUCUGACAUUACCGUCUUGUGAUAAGAGAUGCCGCUAGAGUGUGACCUGAGGGACACUUCCUAGUUCUCAGAACAUGUAAAAAUCGCCGCCUGACACUGAUUACUCCCAGGGGUUUCGUCCUCUGAUGAAACCCCCGACCUUCAGCCACAAAUGAACGGUUUCAUGUGCGUUGGGCCCAAUGGUAUGACAUUGGCUGCUGCUGACAUAAGCUCCAACAGUCUCCGUAGAGACUGGAGGGGAUGCCAAGUCUAUCUUGCUCAAUGUUGAUAGGAUUUGCCCUGCGUGUGUUGGGGAUAGACAUGCCCUCAUUGUAUUCGAAUCCCAGCUCUUGUCUGGAGAACCAACUGUUCCUGAGGUUCAACCUGAGCCCCAAGCUCUUCAUGUGGAUGAGAACAACAUCUUGAUGUUGAACUUUUUGGACCGCACUAGAAUUAACCAGUCGUCCAGGUAGUUUAGCACACGGAUAAUCUGGAGUCGCAAAGGAACCAACGCGAAAUCCAUACAUUUCCUGAAGGUGCGAGGGGAUAAAGCUAGCGAAUGGAAGAACCAAUAUUGAUAUGCGUUGCCUCCAAACGAGAACCUCAGGAAUUUCCUGUGACUGGGCAAUGGAAUAUGCACCUUUUUUUAGAUCUAUCCUCACAAACCAAUCCUCAAACUGAGUCUGUGGAACGAUAAGGUUGAGCGUCAACAUCCUGGACCUGUAUGUCCAAAGAUUAUGGAUCAGAUGGCACAGAUCUAAAAUUCUAUAUCCAUAUAUCCCGUCUUUUCUGUGGACUAGGAAAUAACGGCUGUAAAACCCCCCUGCCUCAGAGAAAGAGGUACAUGUUAUAUGGCACCUUUGUCCAAGAGAGAUCCACUUCUUGGGCUAACAUCGGGCUCUGCAUUGUGCUGUCUAUUGUGGGAGGUGUCGAGCUAUGAACUGGGCCCGGAACCCUUUUCUAUGGAAGACAGAACCCAUGGAGACACAUUUGGCUGUAGUUUCCAUGCUGCCAGAUGGUCUCUAGUGACGUUAACUUUCCACAUUUUGUUGGAGGGAAAGCAUCAGAUUUUCCUUGCCCUGUGACAGCUCGCUGACCAGAGAAAACUGAAAACUUGGGACGACAUUGACUAGGGGAGCACUACAGUAAUACUGGGGGCUAACUGUCCUAACAACCUCUCGUCCCCUGAUACCUCCCUCCGCAGCCCUUCAGGACUGCUUCUUUUUGUCUUUUUGGCACUGAUUAUCAUUUAAAAUCAGGCCUACUAGCAGGCUGCAACUGUGGCUGCCCGGUCCCCCUGGCUUUCUGCAGGUGGAGGCAGGCUGCCACACUCACCUUCUGUGCCCCCUAGCAAUUCAGCAGUUCUGCCUGGUAGGCCUGCAACACUGCCAUUUUUGCUGAUACCCACAAGCAAGUCUUGCUGCCAUGUAGGCUUCACCAACCAACGAAUAGGUGGUCUUACACGGCCUGGAUGGCAAAGCUGGCCUCCUGAUUUUGCUGGCAUCGAUGGAGAGAGGUGGCUCGCAAGUGCCUCCUGUACCUUCGGCAUAGCAAAAUAGCUGUAAUGUUUAUCCCCCAUGAUGGCCGAAUAAUCCAACGUCGCAGGGUCAUAAACAGGGAGCUUCCCACAGCGUGAAGUUCAAGCAACGUUGAGUUCCCUUUGAAAGGGAACAUAAAGACUAUGAUAGAGACUAAGGUACACACCAACACACAAAAGCUUGACAACCAGAUGCUGAAACAUAGUCCCUGCGUCCCAAUUGGCAUACAUAAAAGUAUGUACUCUAUUUGUUAAGAAAUUUUCCAAAUUUCAUUCACACCUCUUUAAAAUGCUUCCUUGAAUUUGGUGAAGCAAACCUUCACAAAACUUUUCCUCCCUCGUGCAAGGGAUUAUGGGUAAUAGCUGAAAAAAUGUCCACGGAUCCACACUUCAAAAAUCUACCAUAAAUUGUAGACCAUCCAGGUACUAAUUUCACUAUAUUACCAUUUGGGACACACUAAUUCUGUACACGCUAGUACUGAUAGUAUACCAGUUGGGACGCAGGGAAUGACUUAUAUAACGGUUAUCAGGCUGAGAUGAGACACACGUGUGAGUGAUUGAAAACAUGUGACAUUCCGGUGCUGAUGGAAAGUGUAGUUCAACGCCCUUUGGGUGCCAUCAUGACACUUCACUUUCAGUUAGAGUCCACUCUUGUUAAAUGCUGCACGUUUAAAUUGUAUUACAACUGCCUUCUCUUUCUCUCAUCAGAAUUUUUAUAUUUAUUAUUAAGCUUUAUAUGUGCUUAAAACAACCCUUAAAGGUAAAAUCAACCUUGAACAUUUUGCAUUUUUCUCUUAUUAAUAAUUAACAUGUGAGCUUCAGUGACAUCAAAGAUUGAUUUUGCAAUGAAAUUCUGAGUUGUUUUUUAUUUCUUCAUUAACAUGUUGGUCUGUUUCCUUUUGGUUAACAGUUUCCUUCCCACAAUGCUGUUCAUUUCCAGUACCUGCUGAUAAUGGUGCAGUAGGAUUUAGGCCUUGCUUCAGCUCUAUGUCAGGACUGAUGAAGCAGCACUUCAGUCUUUUAGUCUGUUAGUCUGUUCAGCUCUCUCACCUUCUCACCUUGUACACUCUGCUCAAACAGCUCCAGUUUCAAAGCUUCGAUAUUCAUGCUAAUACCGUUGUCAAUGCCGCCAUGCUUGUCAUCUCAUAGAUCACUAACUAGCCAAAAUGAAUCUCUGACAUAACUUAGCGUAAUUGUUUCGUACAACUGCAUUGCCUUCUGGAACUUUGAGUCCACUUUUUUAUCUUGCUCUUUUGUUUUUAGGUUCAAACUUGAUCGUUUUUCUUUAUGUUUGAGAUUGCUGAAUUUUUUUCUGUGACAUCAGCACUUCACACAACCACUAACUUUCAUGCUCAUGAGAACAACAAUAAUACAGCAUCCACCAAAAAAAAAUCAUCAGAAUUGCUAGGCACAUUACAAAUAUUUUAAUAUAAACAUAUUUAAUGUAGUUUAGGGUGGACAUUUCCUUUAAGCUUUCUGCUAUAGUGAAAUGGUACACCUGUAUAAACAACUAUAGACACCAUAUCACAACUUUGGUAUGUAUUUUGUCUGAAUAGACCUUUGGUUUUCACCAGCAGGAUAGCAAAGACGUGCUUGCUUGGGUAAUAUUGGAGUGAAAUAUAGUAUUUUAGUCAAUGGCUUGUGUCCGGCGCGAUGCCCAGAUGGGUCCGGUGAGACUGACUCAGGCCAGGCAGCCCAUGUCAUUCUGGGCAUGGCCAUGUGGUCAGCCUAGCCAAGAUAUUCCCAUGGUUCACUAGUGCCCGUUUACCAAACAGUGCCAAACCAGCACAGGCCAAGCUUAAUACAGAAUGUGUAUAAGUACAAGCAGCUGUAGGGAAGCUGGCAGCGAGGUGAGGUCCUGCCUCAUGUGAAGGGAUCACUGAGUAACUCCAGGAGAGAGAGAGCGAAAGGGGGGGUUAGAAAACACAGAGGAUCUGGGCCUGGUUGUGCUGGCAGGUUAAAUAUCUCCAGGCUAGGAGUGCAGUGAGGGCAUAUGGCCUGUGGUGAAAAAAAAGAGAAGCCCAGCACACAUGUGGCUUUCACAUCACUGCUCUUUAACUUGCUCUCGCUCUCUUGUGACCAUUAUCUGCUUGGUAUUUGAACCUCCUGCCACCUGCAUUGGCAUGUUGAUUUGCUUCCAGGCUCCUGCAUGGAAGGGCAGUGUCUUCAGUUUUUUUCUUUUUUCACAUUGUUUGUUUGAUGCUGUGAGGAGAUAUGAGCUGAAUGGUUGUCCCUUUCCAAACACAAAGGCUGUAAAAAUUCACCCCCUAUGUGAGGGUUGCCACUGUUUGACCACAAUAUCCACUCCCUUCCUGUAGCCUACUAUACUCAAGGAAGAAUAGCACAAGGAAAGAAAUCUACCUCUUGUAAUUACUAUUAUAAUGAUAAAUGUAAAUACCAAUUAACACAGACAACCAUUCUAGAGUAAUCUGGAACACUCUCAUUGUGAAAUGAGAUGUAGGUUAUGAAGUACCAGGCCAAAGUGGAGCAUCUCCUAGAAGUAGCUUAUUAAAUAAUGCCCAACUAAUUGCUUUGUCUUCCUUUUGUCCUGCUGGUGUACAUGUUAUUAAGCGUGUUUCAUAUAUCUUAGAAUAAUGAGGAAGACACGCCUGGCACCUGCAUGCUGUAAUUAAACAUAUAAAUUCUCUCCUUGCAGAAUUAUUUGUGGUCACGAACUGAUUUAUACAGCUUGCUAAAUUGCAAUGUUGAGCUUAUUUUCUUUCCCUGAAAGAGCUGGAGAAAGGAACCUCAUUCAUCAGGCACCUUUGCCAGAAUAAGCUUCUCUAGAAGCUGACUAUAUAUAAGGAGUACAUGCCCC